AGAGAAGCUUGCUUCUCUUGAGAGCGGCGGACGGGUGAGUAAUGCCUACGAAUCUGCCUGGUAGUGGGGGAUAACGUUCGGAAACGGACGCUAAUACCGCAUACGUCCUACGGGAGAAAGCAGGGGACCUUCGGGCCUUGCGCUAUCAGAUGAGCCUAGGUCGGAUUAGCUAGUUGGUGGGGUAAUGGCUCACCAAGGCGACGAUCCGUAACUGGUCUGAGAGGAUGAUCAGUCACACUGGAACUGAGACACGGUCCAGACUCCUACGGGAGGCAGCAGUGGGGAAUAUUGGACAAUGGGCGAAAGCCUGAUCCAGCCAUGCCGCGUGUGUGAAGAAGGUCUUCGGAUUGUAAAGCACUUUAAGUUGGGAGGAAGGGCCAUUACCUAAUACGUGAUGGUUUUGACGUUACCGACAGAAUAAGCACCGGCUAACUCUGUGCCAG
This 443-nucleotide ribosomal RNA is filed under the name Pseudomonas fluorescens. RNAcentral's name for it is "bacterial SSU rRNA". It matches the Rfam family "Bacterial small subunit ribosomal RNA", at positions 72 to 511 of the family's 1533-position model. The record is from RNAcentral. Lineage: Bacteria; Pseudomonadati; Pseudomonadota; Gammaproteobacteria; Pseudomonadales; Pseudomonadaceae.